Molecule: transfer RNA, 87 nt
Filed under: Teichococcus vastitatis
Lineage: Bacteria; Pseudomonadati; Pseudomonadota; Alphaproteobacteria; Acetobacterales; Roseomonadaceae
Description: tRNA-Leu
Rfam family: tRNA
About the family: Transfer RNA (tRNA) molecules are approximately 80 nucleotides in length. Their secondary structure includes four short double-helical elements and three loops (D, anti-codon, and T loops).
Source: RNAcentral
GCGGGCGUGGCGGAAUGGUAGACGCAUGGGUCUUAAAAACCCUGGUCAUUCAAUGACAUGCGGGUUCGACUCCCGCCGCCCGCACCA